Molecule: ribosomal RNA, 527 nt
Filed under: uncultured bacterium
Lineage: Bacteria
Description: bacterial SSU rRNA
Rfam family: Bacterial small subunit ribosomal RNA
Source: RNAcentral
AAUAGAUACCCUGGUAGUCCACGCCGUAAACGAUGUGCACUAGAUCCCGGAGGUUUUGACGCCAUCGGGGUCGAAGCGAAAGUGUUUAGUGCACCGCCUGGGGAGUACGGUCGCAAGGCUAAAACUCAAAGGAAUUGACGGGGGCUCACACAAGCGGUGGAGCAUGUGGCUUAAUUCGAAGCAACGCGAAGAACCUUAUCCAGGGCUUGACAUGCACGGAUUAGUUCGGUGAAAGCCGGAUGACGCGGUUUCCGUGGAACGUGCACAGGUGCUGCAUGGCUGUCGUCAGCUCGUGCUGUGAAGUGUCGGGUUAAGUCCCUUAACGAGCGAAACCCCUAUCACUAGUUGCCAGCGGGUCAUGCCGGGGACUCUAGUGAGACUGCCGGCGUCAAGCCGGAGGAAGGUGGGGAUGACGUCAAGUCCUCAUGGCCUUUAUGCCCUGGGCUGCACACGUGCUACAAUGCCGCCGACAAAGCGACGCGAUGCCGCAAGGUGGAGCAAAUCGCAGAAACGACGGCCCAGUUCGG